GAUGAACGCUGGCGGCGUGCCUAAUACAUGCAAGUCGAGCGAACGGACGAGAAGCUUGCUUCUCUGAUGUUAGCGGCGGACGGGUGAGUAACACGUGGAUAACCUACCUAUAAGACUGGGAUAACUUCGGGAAACCGGAGCUAAUACCGGAUAAUAUUUUGAACCGCAUGGUUCAAAAGUGAAAGACGGUCUUGCUGUCACUUAUAGAUGGAUCCGCGCUGCAUUAGCUAGUUGGUAAGGUAACGGCUUACCAAGGCAACGAUGCAUAGCCGACCUGAGAGGGUGAUGGGGCAAAAGGGAACUAGGACACGGUGCAGACGAAUACGGGAGGCAGCAGUAGGGAAUCUUCAGCAAUGGGCGAAAGCCUGACGGAGCAAGGCCGCGUGAGUGAUGAAGGUAUUCGGAUCGUAAAACUCUCUUAUUAGGGAAGAACAAAUGUGUAAGGAACAGUGCACAGCUUGACGGUACAUAAUCAGAAAGACACGGAUAACUAAGUG
Molecule: ribosomal RNA, 497 nt
Filed under: uncultured bacterium
Lineage: Bacteria
Description: partial 16S ribosomal RNA
Rfam family: Bacterial small subunit ribosomal RNA
Source: RNAcentral